This 762-nucleotide ribosomal RNA is filed under the name Malagoniella puncticollis. RNAcentral describes it as "SSU rRNA". It matches the Rfam family "Eukaryotic small subunit ribosomal RNA", at positions 473 to 1193 of the family's 1831-position model. Lineage: Eukaryota; Metazoa; Arthropoda; Insecta; Coleoptera; Scarabaeidae. The record is from RNAcentral.
GCGAAAUACGAUACGGGACUCAUCCGAGGCCCCGUAAUCGGAAUGAGUACACUCUAAACCCUUUAACGAGGAUCAAUUGGAGGGCAAGUCUGGUGCCAGCAGCCGCGGUAAUUCCAGCUCCAAUAGCGUAUAUUAAAGUUGUUGCGGUUAAAAAGCUCGUAGUCGAAUUUGUGUCCCGCGCCGCCGGUUCAUCGCUCGCGGUGUCAACUGGCGUGUCCGCGGGACGUCCUGCCGGUGGGCUUAGCUCCUCGCGGGCGGCCCAAUCUCAAUCCCACCGCGGUGCUCUUCACUGAGUGUCGAGGCGGGCCGGCACGUUUACUUUGAACAAAUUAGAGUGCUUAAAGCAGGCUAAAACAUCGCCUGAAUACUGUGUGCAUGGAAUAAUGGAAUAGGACCUCGGUUCUAUUUUGUUGGUUUUCGGAACCCCGAGGUAAUGAUUAAUAGGAACGGAUGGGGGCAUUCGUAUUGCGACGUUAGAGGUGAAAUUCUUGGAUCGUCGCAAGACGGACAGAAGCGAAAGCAUUUGCCAAAAACGCUUUCAUUGAUCAAGAACGAAAGUUAGAGGUUCGAAGGCGAUCAGAUACCGCCCUAGUUCUAACCAUAAACGAUGCCAGCUAGCGAUCCGCCGACGUUCCUCCGAUGACUCGGCGGGCAGCUUCCGGGAAACCAAAGCUUUUGGGUUCCGGGGGAAGUAUGGUUGCAAAGCUGAAACUUAAAGGAAUUGACGGAAGGGCACCACCAGGAGUGGAGCCUGCGGCUUAA